CCUACGGGAGGCAGCAGUGAGGAAUAUUGGUCAAUGGCCGGAAGGCUGAACCAGCCAAGCCGCGUGAAGGACGAAGGUGCCAAGCAUUGUAAACUUCUUUUGUCAAGGGACAAAAUCAGGCUCGAGAGCCUGCCCGAGGUUACUUGAAGAAAAAGCAUCGGCUAACUCCGUGCCAGCAGCCGCGGUAAUACGGAGGAUGCGAGCGUUAUCCGGAUUUAUUGGGUUUAAAGGGCGGGUAGGCGGGAAAGCAAGUCAGAUGUGAAAACACAGGGCUCAACCCUGAGCCUGCAUUUGAAACUGUUUUUCUUGAGUGCUGGAGAGGCAAUCGGAGUUCCGUGUGUAGCGGUGAAAUGCGUAGAUAUACGGAGGAAUACCAGUGGCGAAGGCGGAUUGCUGGACAGUAACUGACGCUGAGGUGCGAAAGCGUGGGGAGCAAACAGGAUUAGAUACCCGUGUAGUC
This 460-nucleotide ribosomal RNA is filed under the name uncultured bacterium. Its description in RNAcentral is "partial 16S ribosomal RNA". It matches the Rfam family "Bacterial small subunit ribosomal RNA", at positions 338 to 795 of the family's 1533-position model. The record is from RNAcentral.